Molecule: transfer RNA, 88 nt
Filed under: Muribaculaceae bacterium
Lineage: Bacteria; Pseudomonadati; Bacteroidota; Bacteroidia; Bacteroidales; Muribaculaceae
Also listed under: 1 other name
Description: tRNA-Ser
Rfam family: tRNA
About the family: Transfer RNA (tRNA) molecules are approximately 80 nucleotides in length.
Source: RNAcentral
GGAAAGAUGCUCGAGUGGCUGAAGAGGCAGACCUGGAAAGUCUGUAACGGCCGAAAGCCGUUCGCGGGUUCGAAUCCCGCUCUUUCCG